This 442-nucleotide ribosomal RNA is filed under the name uncultured bacterium. Its description in RNAcentral is "partial 16S ribosomal RNA". It matches the Rfam family "Bacterial small subunit ribosomal RNA", at positions 338 to 795 of the family's 1533-position model. The record is from RNAcentral.
CCUACGGGAGGCAGCAGUAGGGAAUCUUUCACAAUGGGCGAAAGCCUGAUGGAGCAACGCCGCGUGCAGGAUGAAGGCCUUCGGGUUGUAAACUGCUUUUAUAAGCGAGAAAUAUGAUGGUAACUUAUGAAUAAGGAUCGGCUAACUACGUGCCAGCAGCCGCGGUCAUACGUAGGAUCCGAGCAUUAUCCGGAGUGACUGGGUGUAAAGAGUUGCGUAGGUGGCAUAAUAAGUAGCUAGUGAAAUCUGGUGGCUCAACCAUUCAGACUAUUAGCUAAACUGUUAAGCUCGAGACCGUUAGGAGUAACUGGAAUGUCUAGUGUAGGAGUGAAAUCCGUAGAUAUUAGAAGGAACACCAAUAGCGUAGGCAGGUUGCUGGGACGGUUCUGACACUAAGGCACGAAAGCGUAGGGAGCAAACGGGAUUAGAUACCCGGGUAGUC